Chloroflexi bacterium RBG_19FT_COMBO_62_14 is the source of this 117-nucleotide non-coding RNA. The record is from Rfam. Lineage: Bacteria; Bacillati; Chloroflexota.
UCCGGUGGCUCUAGCGGAGGGGAAACGCCUCUUCCCAUUCCGAACAGAGAAGCUAAGCCCUCCAGCGCCGAUGGUACUGCACGGGCAACUGUGUGGGAGAGUAGGUCGUUGCCGGGA